UGAAGCCUGAACUCGAGUAGGGCCCAAGCAAGCCAGGAAGGAGGAGGUAGCCCGAGUGUUCUCGGCAGCAGAAGACCCCUUGCUGCCCUGCUUAACCCAGACCAGCAUUUGCCAGAAGCAUAUGGCAAAUGCUGCCAAGAAGUUCUCCCCUGGUGGUUCUGCAUCCCUUUUGAAGUUGGAGGCAGUCUGAGUUCUUUGUCUGCCUGACUAGCCUACUCCAGGGGCCUGGAGACACGGGUUUUCUUGUGGAGCUCUGGAAACCAGCAUGGAGUGGAGUCUGGCAGGUGGGCAUAUUCAGGCCGAUCCCGAAAAGCACUUACCUUGGCAGGUGAAGCAUCUGAUGUGGAAAUGAUUACUCUGGACACGCACCACCUCCCCUUUACAGGUGUCUCCACAGCGAUAGCACUGGAUUAUGUGCCAUUUAAACAAAGAAAGAUCUAAGGCAACUGGGAAAGACCUCUGUCAGAUGGAAUAAGCUGCUUUCAGUCAGAGUGGACAAUACUUGGCUCAAUGGUCCAAAGGGCAUAUGGCAGCUCCGCAUGACAGUGUUCACCCUUGAUCCUCCAGCCCUUAAAGGCCUCAAAGGGCAUCGUGCAAGUAUGCAAGGUAAGUGCCCCAGCUCUGCAACUCCAUUCAUUCAGAACCAGACCAUUCCAAGAAGAAACUGUAGCAAGAGGGAUUUCUCCGCCAUGCCUUCACUCUCGACUCCCACAUCCAUCUCUGUACGAAUGGAAACAUCAAGCUCUUGGUAUUUGUCUGUGUGCUACCAAAGGUGUCACCACCCGACAUGCUGAUGUUUGGGGCGAAAGAAAAGCACAGGACUUUUGCAUUCCUGGUGAGAGAUGCCUUUCCAUAGAGAUCCUCAAUUCUCAUGGGAAUCGUCACAUCAGAAGUGAAGGUCAGAUUUUCCAAGGUUUGUUUGACUAGACUCUCAGAAUUCUCCAGGGAAGCAUCUGCAUGUAUUUGAGCCCUUUCAAAGCAGGUAGUAGAUUGUAGAGAAUCCCAGGAGAAUUGAUUGAGAGAUAAGAACUCUCUAACCCUUUUGAAUCCCCUAAGCACUCUGCAAAGGAAAGAGGUUUCCUUACAUCUGUUUCUUUUUCCUUGAUGCUUGCUCAGCAAAACCUAUUCUACAGACCCUAUCAAACAAAAACAACCCCUCACCCCCACACUUAAGCACUGUGUUCUUGCUAGAUUGUCCUGGUGGCUGAUUCCUCAUCUAAUAGGAGGGAAGGGUCACCUUGUUGCCACAGUGGGCAGAAAACUGGUUUGCAACUGCAGUUUUAAAAUGCAUGUGGGGAGCACUCUCCUGUUAGAGAGAAGGUGCACACAGAUUUCAAAAGAUGAUUAAAAACUGAAAGUGGUGAAAUAGCGUGUUUGGGUUAGCGGGGAGUGGACUUGUGUUAUUGAUCACCAGUAAUGCCACCGGCAUUAACUAUUACUAAUAGGUGCCUAUGACAACACAAUGCACAUAGUAUGAGCAACAACAACCCACUUUCUUAGGAAAAUAAUGUCUUUUCCCAGUAACCAAAUACUGCAGCAUGAUGGCUGGAAUAAUACAAGUUGCUCACAGCUGAAUUGAUACCUUGGGAAAAGGUGUGCUGAUUUCUUACAGCACACAAGUAAUAACUGUUUCUUAAUUAUGCAAGACAACACUUGUCUGGAAGGGCCUUAAGAUGUUUGUUUUUCAUACUGCUGCAGUAUGAAAGCUACAUUUCAUUUUUGCCCCGGGUGCUUAUUUCCGAGUCCUCUCCACAGUCAUCCUUGCCUUCUAUGAUUCCUAUGGGAAAACAGGAUCCAAAGUAUUUGAGAUUAUACCUUUUUACUGAACUACCUCUCUUGAUAGGGCAGGACUGCUUCAGGCUGCAUUGAAGUAUUCCAGGCUUCUGAAAUAUGUCGCACCCAGCUGUCUGGAUAGACUGACUGAAAUGGACGGUUUAAAUUUGGCCAAAGAAAUACCUUCUGAGCUUUGAGAGAUUGAAGCUUGAAGGAAGCCAUGCUUCCUGGGGCUAGCACUGCUUCCCUGUGCUUCUGUUUACUUGCCACCUGCUCAACUCUACAUUUGUAAGUAAACAUAAGUCACAAAAACACCAUUUCAUUCUCCAGUAUAAUCUCCUCUAAAGGCAAAGAACUCUGUAAAUAGAGAUGCCCUGGAACGUCUUACCAUUCAGGGACACACGAAUCAUGAAACCACUUGACAGUGUGCAAAUGCAGUUACAAUCAUGCUAAGCUUAGUCACAGGGUUUGUUGACACAAAGGGAGGGGGCUAGCAUUUAGAGGAGGAGAAUUUUGCAAAGAUUAAAGAUGAUACAGACUACAAAGCACAGUGUAAGGCAUCUCCUCAAAGCUCUUUUGUGGUUUCCUGUCCCCUUCUGCAUCUAUCAUAAGCUCUUUGUACUUGCCUAAAAGCUUUCCAUGGAUUUGCCCCACCCAAUGGCCGAAUUCAGAUGUAGCAUGAAACCGGUGUUAAAUGGGGCAGAGCUUGGAACUCCAUUACAUCCGAAUUCGUGCAACCGUGGUUUCAAGUUGAAAGUGACCAGCAAUUUGCCUCACCAAACUCCACUCUGAAUCUUUGGUUUGCACAAAUGUUUGUUGCUGAGACCUCCAGUUUGGCCGCUAAAUAGUUACGUCUGAUCCUGGACACCGUCAUGACCGUGGCUGCAUUCCAAUUCUCAAACUGCAGUCAUAGAAACUGUGGUGCAGACCUACCCAGGAACGUGGCCACUCCAUGGCUGCAGCGUUCCUCACUGGCUGCUUCUCCGAGCAGCAGCUCUGCCUCUCCUGUCACCCAUCCAGCUAUGGAGUUGCCCAGCAACAGGGACAGCACCACGUCCCAUCCCAAGCUUGUCAGCCUGUCAAGUGGCAAAGUCACACAGGGGCAUUCCCUCUUCCCUCUCUGUCCCUUGCUGUCCCACCAGGCUAGCAGGAGGGGAAGGGGAUGGGAUGGCAAGAUGGGCACUAAGUGCUUUGCUCCCCGAGAAUGAAGCAACAAUGAUGUAUGUUCACAAGCACAAACACUCCAGGUGGCAACAUAAACAGGGCACCCCAUCACAGUGCCCGGAGGGGAACAAAUGGCUGGAGGGGUGUGUGUGCCCAGGGUUGGGUUGAAAAGGCAGCCCCAAAUGAGGAUUAUUGAGCAGCCAAGUUCUAUUCUUUUUCACAUAAAGGUUGGGGAAGGGGGGGCAGCCCCUUCCCCAUGGGGGUUUGUGGUCCCUAGGCUUGCUCAUGAGCAGGGCUAGUCACCAGGGUCAGCAUUGCUCCAGUCAAAAGAGCAAUUCAACAUAUGUAAUGAUGAUGACCCAAGGAGGACCGUGCUUGUUCAAAAGAGUGCCAAGCCAUGAGGACACCCCCUCACAACUCAUGAGAAGAACCAUCAGAGGGGAGGGGAGUGAAUUGCCGAGCAAAAUCACUAAUAAUGUCUGAUGAUAAAAUAACCCUUCUCCCACAGAACACUCUCUCACAAGAGUGUCAGCUCUAUAUAAAGUGAGCUUACUAUAUGGAGGAAAGCUGUGGGGACAGGUACCCUGGUGACUGUUCUCCCUGUUGUGGUGACUGUCACCAAGUAGCUGUCAUAGUUUGCUCCCUGCCAGUCCAUCUGUGGGCAUG
Molecule: long non-coding RNA, 3603 nt
Organism: Hemicordylus capensis (graceful crag lizard)
Lineage: Eukaryota; Metazoa; Chordata; Lepidosauria; Squamata; Cordylidae
Exons: 4
Source: RefSeq, a predicted model, not a curated record